Molecule: ribosomal RNA, 925 nt
Filed under: Debaryomyces hansenii
Lineage: Eukaryota; Fungi; Ascomycota; Pichiomycetes; Serinales; Debaryomycetaceae
Description: SSU rRNA
Rfam family: Eukaryotic small subunit ribosomal RNA
Source: RNAcentral
CAUUUAUACAGUGAAACUGCGAAUGGCUCAUUAAAUCAGUUAUCGUUUAUUUGAUAGUACCUUUACUACUUGGAUAACCGUGGUAAUUCUAGAGCUAAUACAUGCUAAAAAUCCCGACUGUUUGGAAGGGAUGUAUUUAUUAGAUAAAAAAUCAAUGCUCUUCGGAGCUUUUUGAUGAUUCAUAAUAACUUUUCGAAUCGCAUGGCCUUGUGCUGGCGAUGGUUCAUUCAAAUUUCUGCCCUAUCAACUGUCGAUGGUAGGAUAGUGGCCUACCAUGGUUUCAACGGGUAACGGGGAAUAAGGGUUCGAUUCCGGAGAGGGAGCCUGAGAAACGGCUACCACAUCCAAGGAAGGCAGCAGGCGCGCAAAUUACCCAAUCCCGACACGGGGAGGUAGUGACAAUAAAUAACGAUACAGGGCCCUUUAGGGUCUUGUAAUUGGAAUGAGUACAAUGUAAAUACCUUAACGAGGAACAAUUGGAGGGCAAGUCUGGUGCCAGCAGCCGCGGUAAUUCCAGCUCCAAUAGCGUAUAUUAAAGUUGUUGCAGUUAAAAAGCUCGUAGUUGAACCUUGGGCUUGGCUGGCCGGUCCGCCUUUUUGGCGAGUACUGGAUCCAACCGAGCCUUUCCUUCUGGCUAACCAUUUGCCCCUGUGGUGGAUGGCGAACCAGGAUUUUUACUUUGAGAAAAUUAGAGUGUUCAAAGCAGGCCUUUGCUCGAAUAUAUUAGCAUGGAAUAAUAGAAUAGGACGUUAUGGUUCUAUUUUGUUGGUUUCUAGGACCAUCGUAAUGAUUAAUAGGAACGGUCGGGGGCAUCAGUAUUCAGUUGUCAGAGGUGAAAUUCUUGGAUUAACUGAAGACUAACUACUGCGAAAGCAUUUGCCAAGGACGUUUUCAUUAAUCAAGAACGAAAGUUAGGGGAUCGAAG